Molecule: ribosomal RNA, 529 nt
Filed under: Fusarium sp. P163_D2_25
Lineage: Eukaryota; Fungi; Ascomycota; Sordariomycetes; Hypocreales; Nectriaceae
Description: eukaryotic LSU rRNA
Rfam family: 5.8S ribosomal RNA (bases 166-319)
Source: RNAcentral
CGGAGGGAUCAUUACCGAGUUUACAACUCCCAAACCCCUGUGAACAUACCUUAAUGUUGCCUCGGCGGAUCAGCCCGCGCCCCGUAAAACGGGACGGCCCGCCAGAGGACCCAAACUCUAAUGUUUCUUAUUGUAACUUCUGAGUAAAACAAACAAAUAAAUCAAAACUUUCAACAACGGAUCUCUUGGUUCUGGCAUCGAUGAAGAACGCAGCAAAAUGCGAUAAGUAAUGUGAAUUGCAGAAUUCAGUGAAUCAUCGAAUCUUUGAACGCACAUUGCGCCCGCUGGUAUUCCGGCGGGCAUGCCUGUUCGAGCGUCAUUUCAACCCUCAAGCCCCCGGGUUUGGUGUUGGGGGAUCGGCUCUGCCCUUCUGGGCGGUGCCGCCCCCGAAAUACAUUGGCGGUCUCGCUGCAGCCUCCAUUGCGUAGUAGCUAACACCUCGCAACUGGAACGCGGCGCGGCCAUGCCGUAAAACCCCAACUUCUGAAUGUUGACCUCGGAUCAGGUAGGAAUACCCGCUGAACUUAAG